GUCCUUAGACAAGCUAUAAACAAUGUGGAUAAGAUCACGGUUGCAAUCCAUCUCCUGGAUAAUCUCAGCGACGCUUAUGAAGCUAGGGGAGCUGAAGAUGGUAGCUGCAUAUAUUUCGUCUGCGACCAAGUGAAUGUUUCUCUCAUUGAUGAAGCUCACCAGGUCUUUUAGGGUCUCCCUUUCUAAGACGGUGCCCAGUGGAUUUGAUGGGUUGGCUAUAAUCAAGCCUUUGACAUUGAUGCCAGCUCCUUGGGCUCUAUCAUACGCUGCUUCUAACGCAUU
Molecule: unclassified non-coding RNA, 282 nt
Filed under: Hevea brasiliensis (rubber tree)
Lineage: Eukaryota; Viridiplantae; Streptophyta; Magnoliopsida; Malpighiales; Euphorbiaceae
Source: RNAcentral